CCUACGGGUGGCAGCAGUGAGGAAUAUUGGUCAAUGGGCGCUAGCCUGAACCAGCCAAGUCGCGUGAAGGAUGACUGCCCUAUGGGUUGUAACCUUCUUUUAUCUGGGAAUAAAGUGCAGUAUGUAUACUGCUUUGCAUGUACCUUAUGAAUAAGGAUCGGCUAACUCCGUGCCAGCAGCCGCGGUAAUACGGAGGAUCAGAGCGUUAUCCGGAUUUAUGGGGUUGAAAGGGAGCGUAGGCGGGUUGUUAAGUCAGUUGUGAAAGUUUGCGGCUCAACCGUAAAAUUGCAGUUGAUACUGGCAUCCUUGAGUACAGGAGAGGCAGGCGGAAUUCGUGGUGUAGCGGUGAAAUGCGUAGAUAUAACGAAGAACUCCGAUUGCGAAGGCAGCCUGCUGGACUGUAACUGACGCUGAGGCGCGAAAGUGUGGGUAUCAAACAGGAUUAGAUACCCGUGUAGUC
Molecule: ribosomal RNA, 460 nt
Filed under: uncultured bacterium
Lineage: Bacteria
Description: partial 16S ribosomal RNA
Rfam family: Bacterial small subunit ribosomal RNA
Source: RNAcentral